RNAcentral lists this transfer RNA (83 nucleotides) under Actinoplanes siamensis. RNAcentral's name for it is "tRNA-Leu". It matches the Rfam family "tRNA". Rfam says of the family: Transfer RNA (tRNA) molecules are approximately 80 nucleotides in length. Their secondary structure includes four short double-helical elements and three loops (D, anti-codon, and T loops). The record is from RNAcentral. Lineage: Bacteria; Bacillati; Actinomycetota; Actinomycetes; Micromonosporales; Micromonosporaceae.
GCGUUCGUGGCGGAAACGGCAGACGCGCCGGCCUCAGGUGCCGGUCCCGCAAGGGGUGAGGGUUCGACUCCCUCCGAACGUAC